This 1323-nucleotide ribosomal RNA is filed under the name Triticum aestivum (bread wheat). RNAcentral describes it as "partial small subunit ribosomal RNA". Lineage: Eukaryota; Viridiplantae; Streptophyta; Magnoliopsida; Poales; Poaceae. The record is from RNAcentral.
AUGAACCUACUGCCUCACCACCACCUGUCGCUGCCGUCUGGGCCUGGCCGCCGCCCCUCUCCAGCGGCGGCGGAGGUGGAGAUGGACCCGCGCGUGUGGCGCCGGCUGCCGCAGCCGCUGCUGGACCGCGUGCUGGCGUGCCUCCCGACGCCGUCCUUCCUCCGCGCCCGCGCCGUCUGCCGCCGCUUCUACCACCUCCUCUUCUCCUCCCCGUUCCUCCACUCUCACCUCCUGCACUCCCCGCACCUCCCCUUCUUCGCCUUCGCCGUCCCCUCCGCCGGCCACCUCCUCCUCCUCGACCCCACCUCCCAGCCGCAGGGACCGUCCUGGUUCCUCCUCCCGCUCCCGAUCCCGGGCCCGGCCGCGGGGUUCUCGCCGGCUGCCGCUUCCGCUGGCCUGCUGGCGUUCCUCUCCGACGCGUCCGGGCACAAGACGCUGCUCCUCGCCAACCCAAUCACGCGCCUCCUCGCCGCGCUGCCGCUCGGCCCCACGCAGCGCCUCUCCCCCACCGUCGGCCUGGCCGCGGGCUCGACGUCCAUCAUCGCCGUCGUGGCUGGCGACGACCUCGUGUCCCCUUUCGCCGUCAAGAACAUCUCCGUCGACACCUUCGUCGCCGACGCCGCCUCCGUCCCGUCCUCCGGCUUCUGGGUCCCCAGCUCCCUCCUGCCACGCCUGUCCUCCCUCGACCCUCGCGCCGGCAUGGCCUUCGCCUCCGGAAGGUUCUACUGCAUGAGCUCGUCGCCGUUCGCGGUUCUCGUGUUCGACGUGGCGGCGAACGUCUGGAGCAAGGUGCAGCCGCCGAUGAGGCGGUUCCUGCGGUCGCCGGCGCUGGUGGAGCUCGGCGGCGGCAGAGAGGGCUCGGGCACCGCAAGGGUGGGGCUCGUCGCGUCCGUGGAGAAGAGCCGUCUCAGCGUGCCGAGGAGCGUGCGCGUCUGGACACUGCGCGGCAGAGGAGCCUCCGGCGGCGGUGGCGGCGCGUGGAGCGAGGUGGGGCGGAUGCCGCAGGACGUGCACACGCAGUUCGCGGCCGCGGAGGGCGGGCGAGGGUUCGAGUGCGCCGCUCACGGCGACUUCGUCGUGCUCGCGCCCCGCGGCGGGCCGGCAACCGUGCCGGUGCCGACGACCGUGCUCGUGUUCGACUCGCGCCGCGACGAGUGGCGGUGGGCGCCACCUUGCCCAUACGUCGGGCACGGCAUGGCCGCAGUGGCCAACGGCGGAGGCGCGGGCUUCCGGGUCCUCGCGUACGAGCCACGCCUGGCGACGCCGGCCAUCGGCCUCCUGGACGCCACGACGCCGGUGGCUUUGCAUGGGAUGCAUGGUUAG